Molecule: ribosomal RNA, 446 nt
Filed under: Dendrodoris atromaculata
Lineage: Eukaryota; Metazoa; Mollusca; Gastropoda; Nudibranchia; Dendrodorididae
Description: partial 16S ribosomal RNA
Rfam family: Bacterial large subunit ribosomal RNA
Source: RNAcentral
AGCUUGAGGAGAUAAAUUAAUCUCAAGUUAAAUCUGCCCAAUGUAUAAUAAAUGAAUGGCCGCGGUACUUUGACCGUGCUAAGGUAGCAUAAUCAAUUGGCUUUUAAAUGAGGUCAGGAAUGAAUGGGAACACGGGGUUAAGCUGUCUUAACAGUUAUUUUAUUGAAGUUACUAUGUAGGUGAAAAAGCCUAUGAAAAGAAAAAGGACGAGAAGACCCUUAGAGUUUAACUUAAUUUUUAAAUACUUUUAAAAUCAGUUUAGUUGGGGCAACUUAGAAGCAAACAAUAACCUUCUAAUAUUUUAUCAACCGAUUUUUAUAAAUGUAAAUAAACUACCUUAGGGAUAACAGCAUAAUUAUAAAAUUUAGUUUGUGACCUCGAUGUUGGACUAGGAAUCUAAAAGGCUAGCCGCUUUUUAGCAAAGUUCUGUUCGAACUAUACUUUCC